This 253-nucleotide ribosomal RNA is filed under the name uncultured bacterium. RNAcentral describes it as "partial 16S ribosomal RNA". It matches the Rfam family "Bacterial small subunit ribosomal RNA", at positions 524 to 776 of the family's 1533-position model. The record is from RNAcentral.
UACGAAGGGGGCUAGCGUUGUUCGGAAUCACUGGGCGUAAAGCGCACGUAGGCGGAUGUGCCAGUCAGGGGUGAAAUCCCGGAGCUCAACUUCGGAACUGCCUCUGAUACAGCACGUCUUGAGUCCGGAAGAGGUGGGUGGAAUUCCUAGUGUAGAGGUGAAAUUCGUAGAUAUUCGCAAGAACACCAGUGGCGAAGGCGGCUCACUGGCCCGGUACUGACGCUGAGGUGCGAAAGCGUGGGGAGCAAACAGG